Molecule: long non-coding RNA, 1503 nt
Filed under: Homo sapiens (human)
Lineage: Eukaryota; Metazoa; Chordata; Mammalia; Primates; Hominidae
Description: HSALNT0303704
Source: RNAcentral
UUCACCACACAAGUAAAGAAUGGGGUUGGCAGUACUGUCCUUACAUGGGCCAAGAAGGGUACCCCAUGCUUUCAGGAUCCUGCUGUGUCCUUUCUCUAGCUCUGCACCACCCUAUGUUUCUGCUUUCUAGAACCGGUUUCAACCACCCAGUGCCCCAGAGUUCCCUACCCAAACAUCCCCAAACUCCCUUCCAGGCCUGCACUGGACUUUUCCCCAAGUCCGUACUCUUAAAGGCCAGAAUGUGCUGAUAGUGUGUGUACCCUAGGCCCAAGCUUUGGGGUGAUGUUGGGGAGGGUGAGUGGAGCUUAGAUUAAGUGGUCCAUACAUCUAUACCCAAAAGCGUUUGUUGAAUUGGAGAAAGCCAGGGAGCAGAGAGCAGUGGAGCGGGCUGGCAUAUUCUACAGCAGUAAGUUCCAGCAUGGAAAAAUCCAAGGAGCCUGAAAAUUCUAAAUCUGAGCUUGGCCUUCAGGUGUGCUUCCAUUUAUGCUCUUGCCUUGGGCUGCAGAAAUGUUAGGGCAGGCCUGGAAGCAAGGCACAGAGAUGGUUCUGAGCCGACAGAAGAGAGACAGAAAGGUCCAGAGGUGUAAUUUGGGAAUCCAAUCACAAGCAGGCAUAAGGCAGCCAAGAAGGAUGAGCCGGUGAUCUCUGCAGUCUGCCCAUAACUCCACACAAAACUUUACCCAUUGUCACAGGAGAGUAUAAGCAUAGCAUAAAGAUCCUCGUAGAUGGACUUUCAGCUCCAUGCUUAAAGCAACUGACAAGAAUCCAUUUCUUUUCAGUGUACAAGUGAAGGGUAAAAGACAGAGAAGGAAGAUAGAGCAUAGGAAAAAGAGUGGGGUGACUGAAAGCUCUGUGAAGAUAAGGAACUGUGCCCUCACAGCCUUGCUCAUGUUCUCCACAGAUAUUUGUCCAUUCAUUUGUUGAAGAAAUGGUUAAAUAAAGGAAUGAAUGACUAAAGACCAGGUUGGCAGGUGAAAGCCAGGGCAGGGGCCUGGGGCAGCAGGCAGAGACACAGCUCUCACAAAUGCAAGAGGAAGACGAAUCAGGCACUCGUCUGUUCUUCAAAGGAUACAGAAUGGUUUUAUUGACCACCUGUACAUGUGAUGGCUUUCAUCCUGGAGGAGAAGGGCAUAUCCACACCUACCGAAUAUCUGUUUCACAGGCAAUGUGCCAAUUAUUUACAUGCAUAAUCUCAGUAAAUCCUUAGACAACUCUGUGGAGGCAUUUACUGAUAUCUCCAUUUUACCCAGGAGGACACUGAGGUCCAGAGAGAUUAAACCAUUUGUCUGAGGUCACACGGCCAGUGAAAUUUUGAUGCAGGAUUUAAAUCCAAGUCUGUCUCUUACCACUGUAUCAUGCUGUUUUCAGAGGUGAGGGGAGGUGUCUUAAGAGUACCAUAUGGCUUCUGCCACUGGGGAGACCACUGUCAAAUUCCAAGAGGAAGAUCAUGAGGGUCUCAACUGAAUUACUGAAGGGGAGAUUGUGUGAGAAGAGACAGAUUUA